Frankliniella occidentalis (western flower thrips) is the source of this 634-nucleotide long non-coding RNA. RefSeq lists it as uncharacterized. The record is from RefSeq and is a predicted model, not a curated record. Lineage: Eukaryota; Metazoa; Arthropoda; Insecta; Thysanoptera; Thripidae. The transcript has 2 exons.
UUGCCCUUAGGACCCUACUUUGAAUCGAAAUAAAACUGGUGUCCCUUUGUCCCUGAGGUGAUCGCCGACUUUAGGAUCUGUUCAGUUUCACUAGAAGAAUCUACAGCCGAAAUCUGGACGCUGUAGCUCCAAUAGGUCCAGAGAUAGAGCUGAUUUACGUUGAAAUUUCUGUCACGGAGCGGCCGAAUGGGGGCUCUUCUGGCUUCCCGGGAGGGAGGCACGCGCGCCCCGCCGUUUGAAGGGUCUGGAAAGCCAUGCGUCAUAUAUCGGUGUCAGAUGGCAGUUGUGGUGUGUGGUCUGGUGGCUCAGGAAGUUGCGUGCUGGAUCUCUGCACAUUUCGGCUCUCCGUGUCGUAGGUUCGACUCUUGACUUUUGGUGGUAUUUUUUCCUUUUUUUAUUUUUUACCCAAAGGGUUGGAAACUAUCAGGGAAUGUUUGGCCUAUGAAUAUAAACUGCCUUGCAAAGCCCGGUCGCUGUGGGAUGAAUAGUUUUCGAGAAAUCAAAGUUGUAAAAAUUUCGAACUACGACCCUACUUUGAAACGAUAUAAAACUGGUUUCCCGAUUAGUGAGGUGAUCGCCCACUUCAGGAUCUGUUCAGUUUUACUAGAGUAAUCUACAGGCGAAGUCGGGGCGC